RNAcentral lists this transfer RNA (77 nucleotides) under Pseudomonadota bacterium. RNAcentral describes it as "tRNA-Arg". It matches the Rfam family "tRNA". Rfam says of the family: Transfer RNA (tRNA) molecules are approximately 80 nucleotides in length. Their secondary structure includes four short double-helical elements and three loops (D, anti-codon, and T loops). The record is from RNAcentral. RNAcentral also lists the same sequence under 1 other name. Lineage: Bacteria; Pseudomonadati; Pseudomonadota.
GGGCGAUUAGCUCAGUUGGAUAGAGCGUUGGCCUCCGGAGCCAAAGGUCACGCGUUCGAGUCGCGUAUCGCCCGCCA